AGAAUGCCGGAAUGAGUAGCGAGAUAGAGGUGGGAAUCCUCUAGGCCGAAUAUCCAAGGUUUCCAGAGUAAAGCUGAUCUGCUCUGGGUAAGUCGGGGCCUAAGGCGAGGACGAGAGUCGUAGCCGAUGGACAACAGGUGGAGAUUCCUGUACUGCGGUAUGACAGAACUGUGGGGACACGUAAGGAAAGCGGAAGCCGGGAAUGGAGAGCCCGGUGCAAGCGGGGUACCAGCCACUCUGGCAAAUCCGGGUGGCAAUGGGAAGCCGUGAUGCGGAGUGAAAUAAGGUAACGAAGUCCGUGAGCCAUGCGUCAGGAAAAGCCGCUAUUGUUUAUACCGUACCCGUACCGUAAACCGACACAGGUGGAUGAGGAGAGAAUCCUAAGGCCGGCGGAAGAAGCAUUGUCAAGGAACUCGGCAAAAUGGCCCCGUAACUUAGGGAUAAGGGGUGCCUCAGAAAUGAGGCCGCAGAGAAUAGGCUCAAGCAACUGUUUAGCAAAAACACAGGUCUAUGCGAAACCGAAAGGUGAGGUAUAUGGGCUGACGCCUGCCCGGUGCUGGAAGGUUAAGAGGAGAGGUUAGCGCAAGCGAAGCUUUGAAUUUAAGCCCCAGUAAACGGCGGCCGUAACUAUAACGGUCCUAAGGUAGCGAAAUUCCUUGUCGGGUAAGUUCCGACCCGCACGAAAGGCGUAAUGAUUUGAGCGCUGUCUCGACAAUGCAUCCGGUGAAAUUGAAGUACCAGUGAAGAUGCUGGUUACCUGCGCCUGGACGGAAAGACCCCAUGGAGCUUUACUCCAGUUUGGUACUGGGACUCGGUAUUGCAUGUACAGGAUAGGUGGGAGGCUAGGAGAUAGUAACGCCAGUUAUUAUGGAGCCGCUGUUGGGAUACCACCCUUGCAGUAUUGGGUUUCUAACCAGCCGCCGUGACCCGGCGGUGGGACAAUGCCAGACGGGGAGUUUGACUGGGGCGGUCGCCUCCGAAAGGGUAUCGGAGGCGCCCAAAGGUUCCCUCAGAAUGGACGGAAACCAUUCGAAGAGUGCAAAGGCAGAAGGGAGCUUGACUGCGACACCGACGGGUGGAGCAGGUACGAAAGUAGGGCUUAGUGAUCCGGUGGUAUUAAGUGGGAAUGCCAUCGCUCAACGGAUAAAAGCUACCCUGGGAUAACAGGCUUAUCACUCCCAAGAGUUCACAUCGACGGAGUGGUUUGGCACCUCGAUGUCGGCUCAUCGCAUCCUGGGGCUGUAGUAGGUCCCAAGGGUUGGGCUGUUCGCCCAUUAAAGCGGUACGCGAGCUGGGUUCAGAACGUCGUGAGACAGUUCGGUCCCUAUCCGGCGUGGGCGUAGGAUAUCUGAGAGGAGCUGUCCUUAGUACGAGAGGACCGGGAUGGACGGGCCGCUGGUGCAUCGGUUAGACUGCCAAGUCUACGGCCGAGUAGCCAAGCCCGGAAGGGAUAAACGCUGAAGGCAUCUAAGCGUGAAGCCCCCCUUAAGAUGAGAUAUCCCAUUCGAAAGAAGUAAACCCCCUUGAAGACGACGAGGUAGAUAGGGCAGAGGUGGAAGUGCAGUAAUGCAUGGAGCUGACUGUUACUAAUCGGGUGAGGGCUUGACC
This 1608-nucleotide ribosomal RNA is filed under the name metagenome. RNAcentral describes it as "bacterial LSU rRNA". It matches the Rfam family "Bacterial large subunit ribosomal RNA", at positions 1291 to 2925 of the family's 2925-position model. The record is from RNAcentral.